UCAUGUUCACUUUUCCUCCAGUUGAUAUAUGUAUACAUGUUAUCUAUCAGAUCUAUGAAUGCUGUACAUGAGGGAAGAGGCUGUUCAUGUCACUGGUGCCAAGAUGUCAAUUAACAUUCAGGUUCACCUGGAAUUCUUUCAGUACUUAUUGGUGGAUUUAUUUUUGUUACAAGAUGUUGGGGAAAUACAGGAGAUAAAUAAGAUCUUCAAGGUUGGACAUGUUAUUCCUUGCUCUGCUCCUUGGAAUGCAUGCCCCUACCUGCCUGUCAUGUUGGCUAUAGGUUGUUAGAGAAAUAGUAGGAGGUAUAAGGUGUUUUGUAAACAUAACCCUGGGAGGGGAGUUUUGUGACACAUAUCCUGUGGUUCAAAGUGCCUCCCUGGGCAACACUAAAGCCCACCUUAGGUUAAGUCCUACCAGGUGGACAGGCAAUGUGAUGUGAAUAAAACUGUCUGCCAUAUGAGUUUCCAUACUUUUUCUAUUAACCCUGGACCUCAUUAGGAACAUAAGGAGUUCCUUAAGAUCUUAGCAUGAUUAUCAAAAUAGAGUCCAGGACUGAGUAACAUUAGCAUGAAUGUUAUCAUCGGUAGAUGAUAACAAAUUAAUGUGUUACUUUGUCUGCAUGUUACGGUUCUGGAAUGAAAUUCUUAGAGACCUUAUGCCUAACGCAAAAGCUAGAAGACAAAUUUGAAAUCAGGCCUGCAUUUUAUCUGCCUUUAAAUGAGAUCUUAGAAAGACUAUUCAUUUUCUCUGCAUUCCCCCAUAGUCUAUGAAGCCAGACUUUAGGAAAAUAUGACAAAUGAACUAUGUUGGGAGUGAAAGUUAGAGACUGUGAACCAAGGUAUCAGUUUCUGAGAAAAGGAAAUAAUAAAACAUUGGAUAGUUUGGUUUAGCAAAAACAACAAAAGGUCAGAAAGCCCAUUACAAGGUGAUGUCUCAAAUAAUUUGUUCCCACGGAGUUUGUGGUCCCAUAAAACUUGCCUAUAACAUAAACUAGAUCAUCAAGUACUCUGGCCUAGAGAGAAGGCAGUUUUCCAUAAUUGGCAAGAGUGUUUGAAGGGCAAGCUGUGAGUGUAGUGCUGGGAGAUUAGAAGUUGGCAUGAAAAGCUGGUGUGUAAAAGAGAUAGUGAUGUAAAAGAAAGCUACAAUUGGGAGAUGAAUAACACCUUGAUGUAGUGAUUUCUUAUUGCUGGUGUUUGUUUAAAGAAAUAGACAAAAUGCCAUUAAAUACCUUGCCAGGGCUUUUGUUGUCAUUUUGCUUUGUUGUUGUUGUUUUAGUAACAUCUGGAAUUUCUUUAUAAAGAAAAUUGAAUGAUAUAUUCUUAGGACAACAUAUAAACCCAAAUUUUCACACACUGUUCCUCCCAAAACCUACAUAAAGAGCUCCUUAAGAUCUUACUCUGCUUCUAACAAGAUGGCAGACUAUAUCAUGAAACACUGUACGCCCAGCCUUCAAAUGAAAAUGUUAAUACACCAUUUCAGUGAACUAAAAGUUGAUGUGAAUCAGUAAACCUCUUGCAAUGGAAGGACUGGCCGUUUAGAUGAAGGAGGUGCCUGCUGGAUCCAGGACCAAGAUUAUGUGUUUUUACUGAGGUGGUGAAAUUCAAAAUGUCAAGUAUUAAAGGGAAAUGCAAGACAAGCUCUAAAAUGACCAGUGAUGUAGAAACUUAACUCACUAAGUUUAUGAAAAAGCACUAAAUAAAUGAGUCCUAAUUUAUCAUAGUGAAUCUUGUAACAGCAGCAUUUCCACCAUGUUUGACUAUGUUCAAUACAAACUCAAAAUGGCCACACUUGCAAAGCAUAUUUCUUAAUGAAUCCAGCUACAUCCUAUUUAUGCAACUUGAACCCAUGGGAGAACUAUAGACAAUUUAUAUGACAGUUAUUUCACAGGUUUUUUUCUUUGGCAGCUAGAAGACUAAUCAGUUAUUCAAGAACACAACACAUUAUGCAUAAUUAUUUCAUUUCUUUCCCCUUUGCAAAAAAAAUCAUUCACAUAUCAGUAUAGAACAUAUAAACAAAGAAAUAUCCUUGUCAGGAUGUCUACAGAAAGUUAAAAGAAAAAUCUUACAAACAUUGCGAGUAGACAUUACUAUGUAUUGUUUGCUUUGUAAUUUAAGGAAAACAAUGCCAAAAUCAAAAACACAGUGAAGAACUAUUUUCAUUUAUAUAAAGUUUUUUUAAAAAAAACUUCAAAAGGAAAUUUUACUGUGUGAAAUUUAAAUCAUAUAAAAUUUAGAUAUAAAUUUUCAUAAUAUAAUUUAACCUGGAUCAAUCACUAACAGGAUUACUUUAGGAAAAUUACUAAAUUUCUAUUAGCUGCAGUUUCUUCAUCGAUAAGAUUUAUAAAUUAACAAUCACACUAAUUUUUGUCAUACAGUAAUAAUUAAGCUAAAAUGAGAUAAUGUAUAAAAUGAAAGUACUUUACAAACAAUAUAAAAGAAAGAUAUCUGUACUGCUAUCAAGAAACAAGACAAAAACAGUUAAGAAAAAAUGUUAUGUAAAAAUUACUUGACAAUUUUAGGAAACUUGCUUUCAAAGCAUUAGUUGCUAUGCCAACAUUUUCAGUUUGCACUUGGUCAUAUGUUUAGUUUAGACCCUUUAAUAAAAGUAAAAAAUGAUACAAAAUGCAAAUUCAUUUCUCUGCCAUACCAUAGCAUGCUCAGAAAAUCCUUCCAUACCUAUUGAAAUUAAGAGGAUUUAAUCUUAACUGACCAAAGGCCAUAAAUAUAAGUUUAUAAUUGUAGUAAAUUGUAAAUGUUCCUUAGUUUCUUCAUUCCUAGAAUAAAUUUUUGUUUCUGGAAGACUUUUCAAGCAAAGAAAAGAAAAUCAAUAACUAUACUGAACUAUUUUUGUUGGGUUUUCUAGUUUAUGUUGUUGUUGUUAUUGAGGCUGUUUUGUAAGAUUCUGUUUCCUGGGUGCUUUUUUUGUUUUUUGACUCUAGAAUAGGGAUUGGCUGUUAAAUUCCUUGUUUUGCCAAAGCACAUAGGCAAAGGAAUAAGCAAACUAGGAGCUAUGCAUUGAGUAUAGGUAAAUUACUAAUGGAUUUUAAAAGUUGAACAGUAAUACUUACAAAAUGACAUGCCAAAUGUCUAUAUGGUCUGAAAUGGAAUGAAUAGCAUAUAAUUAAAACUGGGGGCUCUGAAAUCAGAUACAUUAAAUUCAAAUAAAGGCUUUGACACUUACUGUGUAAUCUCUGACAAGCAAUUUGCUCUCUAACACUUAAUUUCCUUAUUGUUACUAUGAGGAUAACAACAGUGCCUACCUCAAAGAGUUGUGAGGGUUGAAAAAAAAAAAAAAAAGAAUCCGAGGAAAGCACUUAGACACCAGAUACACAGAAAGCAUUUGGUUUUCCAGUCAUGUCCUUGAAAAUCAUUUCCAAAUGGAAUUUGAAGACUGAGGAAGUUGAUGGAGAAGAGGAAGAAAGUAAGAAUGAUUUCUGAGAACUGUAUUCAACUCAUUGUGUGAGAACUAGCUCGCGAAGAGGAGAACUAAACCUGACUCCACCGUUUUAUCACAGCUGAAUCACUCUAUCAGGACAUCUGGAGAAUAAAUUAAUCUGAAUGGAAACCACUGUGUUUCUUUCAUGAUAUCUUGAUUAAAGAAGGUGAUGUAUUUUCCACAU
Pan troglodytes (chimpanzee) is the source of this 3620-nucleotide long non-coding RNA. RefSeq lists it as uncharacterized. The record is from RefSeq and is a predicted model, not a curated record. Lineage: Eukaryota; Metazoa; Chordata; Mammalia; Primates; Hominidae. The transcript has 3 exons.